GCAAGAACAGCACCCUCUAGUGACAGGCUGCAGUAUAGGUCAUAAACCCCGCCUCCUUAUGGAGCUGUGGACAAACUUUAUAAAUGAAUGACACAGAAUAUAAAUGUUUCUCCCCCCUGGUUGUGAUGUUGACAUUUAGUUACUGUCAGACUGGUUUGUGUUCAAGUCCUCUUUUUUCUGUACAGCUCAGUUUUUAAAAGUUAUUAGGGGGUUCAUGUUUUCUAUGAUUGACACUUGAUACAGCCUAUUGGCGUACGAAGAUUGCGUAGCUCACC
This 275-nucleotide long non-coding RNA is filed under the name Xyrichtys novacula (pearly razorfish). The record is from RNAcentral. Lineage: Eukaryota; Metazoa; Chordata; Actinopteri; Labriformes; Labridae.